GAGGGAAUCCUCCUGAAUCGAUAGUUACGGCGCCGACGCACAACGCACGGCACGCUCGCUGCGCGUAGCCGCCGGGAAGUUCGACCAGGGCAUCCGCACAACGCAUCAGAAAAAGCGCCGAUGGGAAAAUAGUCCUGGCGGCAAUUGCUGUUCUGAUGCACUGGUCUGUGGAGUCUUAGCACUUCAACUUCCUGGCUGUCAAUAGAAUAAGUUUUGCUCGGCUCCGGCGAGGAUGGGGGAUGACAGCAGCGUGCCUUCGGCUCGCUCCAAUACUUGUAGUCUUCAUUAGGUGGUCCAUGAAUCCGGAUGUAAAUUUUGGUCAUUUCUGAUGUUCUUUAUACUGUCAUGACAGACGAUGGAUAGAUCAAAAAGUUUUCUGAAAAGAAACAGCUUCGUAUUUCCUUGUA
Long non-coding RNA from Triticum aestivum (bread wheat), 407 nucleotides. RefSeq lists it as uncharacterized. NCBI's taxonomy places the organism in Eukaryota, Viridiplantae, Streptophyta, Magnoliopsida, Poales, Poaceae. The transcript has 2 exons. The record is from RefSeq and is a predicted model, not a curated record.